Molecule: ribosomal RNA, 738 nt
Filed under: uncultured Bacteroidales bacterium
Lineage: Bacteria; Pseudomonadati; Bacteroidota; Bacteroidia; Bacteroidales
Description: bacterial SSU rRNA
Rfam family: Bacterial small subunit ribosomal RNA
Source: RNAcentral
CUUAACACAUGCAAGUCGAGGGGCAGCAUGGUCUUAGCUUGCUAAGGCUGAUGGCGACCGGCGCACGGGUGAGUAACACGUAUCCAACCUGCCGUCUACUCUUGGCCAGCCUUCUGAAAGGAAGAUUAAUCCAGGAUGGGAUCAUGAGUUCACAUGUCCGCAUGAUUAAAGGUAUUUUCCGGUAGACGAUGGGGAUGCGUUCCAUUAGAUAGUAGGCGGGGUAACGGCCCACCUAGUCAACGAUGGAUAGGGGUUCUGAGAGGAAGGUCCCCCACAUUGGAACUGAGACACGGUCCAAACUCCUACGGGAGGCAGCAGUGAGGAAUAUUGGUCAAUGGGCGAUGGCCUGAACCAGCCAAGUAGCGUGAAGGAUGACUGCCCUAUGGGUUGUAAACUUCUUUUAUAAAGGAAUAAAGUCGGGUAUGCAUACCCGUUUGCAUGUACUUUAUGAAUAAGGAUCGGCUAACUCCGUGCCAGCAGCCGCGGUAAUACGGAGGAUCCGAGCGUUAUCCGGAUUUAUUGGGUUUAAAGGGAGCGUAGAUGGAUGUUUAAGUCAGUUGUGAAAGUUUGCGGCUCAACCGUAAAAUUGCAGUUGAUACUGGAUGUCUUGAGUGCAGUUGAGGCAGGCGGAAUUCGUGGUGUAGCGGUGAAAUGCUUAGAUAUCACGAAGAACUCCGAUUGCGAAGGCAGCCUGCUAAGCUGCAACUGACAUUGAGGCUCGAAAGUGUGGGUAUCAAA